GAAGCUCAUUACAACAGCCGUCGUUUCUUGGAUCUCCGAAUUUACUUGGAUAACUGUGGUAAUUCUAGAGCUAAUACAUGCAAUCGAGCCCUGAACGUAAGUGAUGGGCGCAUUUAUUAGUAACAAAACCAAUCGGUAGCUUGCUACCGUGGUUUGGUGAAUCUGAAUAACUGAGCAGAUCGCUUCGGUCUUUGUACCGGCGACGUAUCUUUCAAGUGUCUGUUUUAUCAACUUUCGAUGUUAGUUUAUGUGACUAACAUGGUUGUCACGGAUAACGGAGAAUAAGGGUUCGACUCCGGAGAGGGAGCCUGAGAAACGGCUACCACUUCUAAGGAAGGCAGCAGGCGCGCAACUUACCCAAUCUCAGUACGAGGAGGUAGUGACGAAAAAUAACGAGACGAGGCUCUUUGAGCUUCGUCAUCGGAAUGAGAACAAUCUAAAUCCUUUAACGAGGACCUAGCGGAGGGCAAGUCUGGUGCCAGCAGCCGCGGUAAUUCCAGCUCCGCCAGUGUAUAUCUAUGCUGCUGCGGUUAAAAAGCUCGUAGUUGGAUCUUCAUGCUUCGACCCGGUCCGACAGUGUUGUUGUGUACUGGAGUCGAGCAUAUGAUGGCUGGUUUUCACUUGAUGCACUUUAUUGUGUGUCCUGUGUGGCUAGCAAGUUUACUUUGAAAAAAUUAGAGUGCUCAACACAAGCGAUUUGCUUGAAUACUGGUGCAUGGAAUAAUAGAAUAAGAUCUUGGUUUUAUUUUGUUGGUUUUCGAAACACGAGAUAAUGAUUAAGAGGGAUCAGA
RNAcentral lists this ribosomal RNA (791 nucleotides) under Xyalidae sp. 2 TJP-2019. RNAcentral describes it as "SSU rRNA". It matches the Rfam family "Eukaryotic small subunit ribosomal RNA", at positions 91 to 883 of the family's 1831-position model. The record is from RNAcentral. Lineage: Eukaryota; Metazoa; Nematoda; Chromadorea; Monhysterida; Xyalidae.